UAUCCAUGCUGAGGACACUUCUACAGUAACUCUUUAUAGCGCUCCCAUGCCUCGAAUAACUUUUCAUCUUCUCUCUGUCUGAAUGUGCAAUUUAUGUUCUCAGUCU
Small nucleolar RNA from Benincasa hispida (wax gourd), 106 nucleotides. The record is from RefSeq and is a predicted model, not a curated record. Lineage: Eukaryota; Viridiplantae; Streptophyta; Magnoliopsida; Cucurbitales; Cucurbitaceae.